This 221-nucleotide unclassified non-coding RNA is filed under the name Hevea brasiliensis (rubber tree). The record is from RNAcentral. Lineage: Eukaryota; Viridiplantae; Streptophyta; Magnoliopsida; Malpighiales; Euphorbiaceae.
GACUCACUUUCUCUUGUCAAUAAUUUACAUUAGCACUGUGUUUUUAGCCCUUGCAUACUGACUCAGGCGAAAGCUUAAGUGAGGCAAGCUGAUAUGAUAAUUAAGAUAAGCUUGUUGUAGACCCUGAGGUGAAUCUUCCUGGUCAAGUUGUGUAAUAGUAAUAGCAGAGUUCCUCCAUGGCCAGGGAUAGUGAAGGGGGGGAAACUCUAAUUGCCCCAAUU